GACGAACCGUGCGAACGUUGUUCGGAAUCACUGGGCUUAAAGGGCGCGUAGGCGGGCAGUCAAGUCAAGGGUGAAAUCCUGCGGCUCAACCGUAGAAGAGCCCCUGAUACUGGCUGUCUCGAGGGAGGUAGGGGCGUGGAAUUCCGGGUGUAGUGGUGAAAUGCGUAGAGAUCCGGAGGAACCCCAGAGGCGAAGGCGGCGCCCUGGCUCGCAACUGACGCUCAGACACGAGAGCAUGGGGAGCGAGCGGG
RNAcentral lists this ribosomal RNA (251 nucleotides) under uncultured bacterium. RNAcentral describes it as "partial 16S ribosomal RNA". It matches the Rfam family "Bacterial small subunit ribosomal RNA", at positions 524 to 776 of the family's 1533-position model. The record is from RNAcentral.